UACGUAGGUGGCGAGCGUUAUCCGGAAUGAUUGGGCGUAAAGGGUGCGUAGGCGGCCUGCUAAGUCUGGAGUGAAAGGUACCGGCUCAACCGGUACAGGCCCUGGAAACUGGCGGGCUAGAGAGCAGGAGAGGGCGGUGGAACUCCAUGUGUAGCGGUAAAAUGCGUAGAUAUAUGGAGGAACACCGGUGGCGAAAGCGGCUCUCUGGCCUGUAACUGACACUGAGGCUCGAAAGCGUGGGGAGCAAACAGG
RNAcentral lists this ribosomal RNA (252 nucleotides) under uncultured bacterium. RNAcentral's name for it is "partial 16S ribosomal RNA". It matches the Rfam family "Bacterial small subunit ribosomal RNA", at positions 524 to 776 of the family's 1533-position model. The record is from RNAcentral.